RNAcentral lists this transfer RNA (44 nucleotides) under Escherichia coli 1-250-04_S3_C2. RNAcentral describes it as "partial tRNA-Val". RNAcentral also lists the same sequence under 1 other name. Lineage: Bacteria; Pseudomonadati; Pseudomonadota; Gammaproteobacteria; Enterobacterales; Enterobacteriaceae. The record is from RNAcentral.
GGGUGAUUAGCUCAGCUGGGAGAGCACCUCCCUUACAAGGAGGG